AUGUUCCCCCAGCGCCCGCCAUGCCCCGCGCCGCUCCGAAGCCCAACCGAGGCUGCUCCGGACAAACCGCCGCCCCUCGGCCGCUCCCCGCCGCCCCGCCCCGUCGCGAAGGAAGCGGCGUCUCUCGUUGCUAUGAUGGCGGCGGUGCGGCCGCAGGAGCGCGCCGUGCCCCGUACGGCAGCGCCGGGGCGUUGCGUGGAGCUCGGCGGGACGGGCGGCGCGGCGCCGUGGCGGCGGCACCUCCAGCAACCGGCGGGGCGCGGAGCGGGCGCGGAUCCGUGCGCGGACAGAGCUUUAGCGUUUCCCUUGGGAUGGGAUUUAGAAGAGGAGCGCUGGGCACUGAAAGAAGAUCAAAGGCUGUGUCGGAGCAGAGCGCGGAAGUAUUCGAUGGAGACCAACAGAAGGAGGAGAGUAGUCCAGGUCUGGUACAAGAGCAGAGGUCUUGAGAACUGGAGGCACAGAGUGUGGCAUAGAGAAGUGCAAGCACGGAUGAUAAAGGACCGAACACAGGUCCGGUACUGGAGACCCCAUAACUGUAAACAGCUCAACACUAGUCUGUUAAGGAGGUGCAGACCUGGAUCUGACUGUAAGAAAGAGAACCACAAAGUAGCACGUAAAUUAAUGUCAAAGGCACCCUGUGAAAUAUUUGGAUGGACUGUGAACCUGUGGAUCUGUUAAAAAAGAGCAAAGGUGUAAAAGUGUGGUAGGAAGCAUAAAAAUGACUCCAAGUGGAUCCCGAGGUGAGGAAGAAGAAAAAAUUAAUAUGAACAUCUCAUUGCUUCUGAAGAAGGGAUUCCAGAUGCUGACAACUCACUGAAAAACAUCAAGACCAUCAGAAUGCAAUUACCAGUAUUGGGACAGAGAAGAGCAAUGGAAGAAUAAGCAUAAGAUCAGGAAAAGGAGGAGAAAAUAAGAGUACAAAUAAAACUGUAAACUAUUAUAACUGUUAUUGAGGC
This 956-nucleotide long non-coding RNA is filed under the name Phasianus colchicus (ring-necked pheasant). Its description in RNAcentral is "lncRNA (ENSPCLG00000007255.1)". Lineage: Eukaryota; Metazoa; Chordata; Aves; Galliformes; Phasianidae. The record is from RNAcentral.